AUGGCAGGGGCCGAGGCGCGGUGCUCCGGGUCGGCGGUGCCCGGCAGGGUCGCGGUGGCGGCCUCCAGUGAGGGAGCCGAACGGGGUAGGUGGCGCUCGGCGUACUCCGACGAUGCAGCGAUCUCCUGGCGAAGCGGCGGCGCGCCUGCUGGCUCCUGGAGAGGCGGAGCGACGGGGACCGGUGAAGUGGCGCCCCGGCGGCCGUGCUCGUGA
Molecule: ribosomal RNA, 213 nt
Filed under: Triticum aestivum (bread wheat)
Lineage: Eukaryota; Viridiplantae; Streptophyta; Magnoliopsida; Poales; Poaceae
Description: partial small subunit ribosomal RNA
Source: RNAcentral